CCAACUGCUACAUACCAUCUUCGACCAUCCCAACACACCAUGUAAAGCCCAAAAUCUGCACAGGCCCAACAGUCCAAUUACAAAAAAUAAUAAACCCAAUUUAAACCCAAACAAAUCAAAACCCUAAGGCCCAAUUAGCCCAAAAUCUAAAACAUUUUUUAGCAAAAUUUCAACAGCAAAUCCUAGAGCGCCGCAUACUGCUACCCCACUGUCGUUUCGCCUCCUCACGCCUGCUUCCACCACCG
Molecule: long non-coding RNA, 245 nt
Filed under: Gossypium raimondii (Peruvian cotton)
Lineage: Eukaryota; Viridiplantae; Streptophyta; Magnoliopsida; Malvales; Malvaceae
Description: long non-coding RNA (GRAI_LNC004539)
Source: RNAcentral